AUGAAAUACACCUUCCAGGAUGGAGAUGUCAUACAACCAGUCAGCUUCCUCAAUGAGCUACGUCUACCCACCACUACAACAGUGUUUCCCGAAACAACAUUUGGUUUCUCUGUGACUCCUUCAAACCUCAUAUCUGGAUCAGCAGUGGUCAAAAGCAAGCUGGUGUUCAACUCCUCAUCUCCAGUCCCCAGUGAAUCUCUGGUCCUCAAUGCAAUCAAAACUCUGCGUAAUUCCAGAGAGUCACAGCUCAAUGAAUCAGUGAAGGUGGUGAAUGUCACCUAUGAGAGUAAGUGUCAUCAUUUUCACUUGGAAAGUUCUGAAAUGAGAUUGAGUCAAACAAUGAGGCAUUACAGGCUUUUGAAAAAUCUUUAAAUUACGUUUUCCUUCCAAACAGAAAUCUCAGAAACCUCCUAUGCUGUGUUCUUUACAUUUAACGUGAUUAACAUCAGCAUGCCAGAGGACCCUAAGUCUAGAGGCAACACCAGCCAGCAAGUGCAGGAUACCAUCAAUAAAGCGGUAAACUUAAAAUAAUAAACAGUGUAAAAAGGCUUAGGUACAAUGCCAGUUUUCACGAGAAACUGAUGAAUGGUUUGAUUUUUCUUUUGCAGCUGAACACUCUUCUGAAUGAACCUGGCAGUCUAAGUUUACAACCCAAGACCUCCAACUUCACGUAAGAUGCAAAUUUAUAUUUCAAUCUUGACUUUGUCUCCAAAAAUUUAGGUAAUCUAAGUAAUCCAAAACAAUAAUAAUAAUAAUAAUAAUAAUAAUAAUAAUAAUAAAUAUAGCUGCAAGCAGCAAUUACGGGGCCAAGCACUCCAGUGGCAAAUUGAGGAGCUAAGCAUGGCGUGGAGCAUCACACCAAAUGCAACAAUGAGCAAUUUCAACAAUUUUAGGAUGAUUGUAAUUGAAAUGGUGGAAAAAUCAUAAAAGCACUAGUAUUAUGAUUAAAUGGCUUAUUACUUUUGACCAACAAGUGGCGCUGUGAUCAAAUCAUUUUGGUGUGUUCUGUGUGAGGUGAGAAUGGCACACACAAAGUUUGGUGUCAGUAUGCCAAAGCAUUGCAGAGAUACAGGCUGAAGUGUCAUUUUGGCAUCAUGCCUGAAAUUCGUUGCUGUGGUAUGCGAAAACC
Molecule: long non-coding RNA, 1129 nt
Organism: Cyprinus carpio carpio
Lineage: Eukaryota; Metazoa; Chordata; Actinopteri; Cypriniformes; Cyprinidae
Source: Ensembl